AUGCUUUCUGACGUUGUUGCCAGUGCCGUCUCUUCCUCAAGUUCUGGUGGGGACAGGAUAGGAGUGAGUGAGAAUGGUGGUGGUGGUGGCAGCAGCGGGAUCGAAAGGGAGUUAGGGUUGGUUUGGGGGCUUAUAUGUUAAAGUCAUGGGCAGGUUGGGCCGGGCCGGCCCAACCGCUCACAACCACUAUGAUAACCACUGAAAUUAUACUCUAGCCCAACCUGUCCAUAACUUUAAUAUGUAAUCCCCGCCCCCGCCCCCACCCCAACCCUAACCCCCUCUCAGUACUGCCGCCGCUGCCACCGCCGCCACCACCAUUUCCAGUUCCUCUCACCCUGUCGCCACCAACUCUUGAUCAAGAGACGGCUCUGGCGGCAACGAGG
Brachypodium distachyon (stiff brome) is the source of this 383-nucleotide non-coding RNA. Lineage: Eukaryota; Viridiplantae; Streptophyta; Magnoliopsida; Poales; Poaceae. The record is from RefSeq and is marked provisional.